RNAcentral lists this long non-coding RNA (203 nucleotides) under Olea europaea (common olive). RNAcentral's name for it is "long non-coding RNA (OEUR_LNC014962)". Lineage: Eukaryota; Viridiplantae; Streptophyta; Magnoliopsida; Lamiales; Oleaceae. The record is from RNAcentral.
UUAAACUUUUAUGUCGUCAAUUUAUUAAUUUCUAAUUGACUUGGGUUAAUUUAAUUUUGUUUUUAGUGACGAACCCGUUUGAAGCAAUUGGAAAGGAAGAAGGCAAAAUUGAGUCAAAUCUACUAGUUGGGAUUAAAUUUCCCAAGUUUGAAAUUGAGGAGGACAUUGGUUGCACAAAUAAAAUUCAUAUCAAGGACUAGAUU